RNAcentral lists this ribosomal RNA (486 nucleotides) under uncultured bacterium. Its description in RNAcentral is "partial 16S ribosomal RNA". It matches the Rfam family "Bacterial small subunit ribosomal RNA", at positions 30 to 507 of the family's 1533-position model. The record is from RNAcentral.
AUUGAACGCUGGCGGCAUGCCUUACACAUGCAAGUCGAACGGCAGCACGGGUGCUUGCACCUGGUGGCGAGUGGCGAACGGGUGAGUAAUACAUCGGAACAUGUCCUGUAGUGGGGGAUAGCCCGGCGAAAGCCGGAUUAAUACCGCAUACGAUCUACGGAUGAAAGCGGGGGACCUUCGGGCCUCGCGCUAUAGGGUUGGCCGAUAGCUGAUUAGCUAGUUGGUGGGGUAAAGGCCUACCAAGGCGACGAUCAGUAGCUGGUCUGAGAGGACGACCAGCCACACUGGGACUGAGACACGGCCCAGACUCCUACGGGAGGCAGCAGUGGGGAAUUUUGGACAACGGGCGAAAGCCUGAUCCAGCAAUGCCGCGUGUGUGAAGAAGGCCUUCGGGUUGUAAAGCACUUUUGUCCGGAAAGAAAUCCUUGGCUCUAAUACAGUCGGGGGAUGACGGUACCGGAAGAAUAAGCACCGGCUAACUACGUG